Molecule: ribosomal RNA, 497 nt
Filed under: uncultured bacterium
Lineage: Bacteria
Description: partial 16S ribosomal RNA
Rfam family: Bacterial small subunit ribosomal RNA
Source: RNAcentral
GAUGAACGCUGGCGGCGUGCCUAAUACAUGCAAGUCGAGCGAACAGACGAGGAGCUUGCUCCUCUGACGUUAGCGGCGGACGGGUGAGUAACACGUGGAUAACCUACCUAUAAGACUGGGAUCACUUCGGGAAACCGGAGCUAAUCCCGUAUAAUAUAUUGAACCGCAUGGUUCGAUAGUAAAAGACGGUUUUGCUGUCACUUAUAGAUGGAUCCGCGCCGCAUUAGCUAGUUGGUACGGUAACGGCUUACCAAGGCGACGAUGCGUAGCCGACCUGAGAGGGUGAUAGGCGACACUGGAAGUGAGACAGGGUCCAGACGACUACGGGAGGCAGCAGUAGGGAAUGUUACGCAAUGGGCGAAAGCCUGACGGAGCAACGCCGCGUGAGUGAUGAAGGUCUUGGGAUCGUAAAACUCUGUUAUUAGGGAAGAACAAAUGUGUAAGGAACUAUGCACGGCUUGACGGUACCUAAUCAGAAAGCCACGGCUAACUACGUG